Molecule: long non-coding RNA, 2602 nt
Filed under: Monomorium pharaonis (pharaoh ant)
Lineage: Eukaryota; Metazoa; Arthropoda; Insecta; Hymenoptera; Formicidae
Description: uncharacterized LOC118647912
Source: RNAcentral
UGGACGACAUGCUAGAUUUCGGCUCUGAUCCGACUACCCAAUUUCGAAUAUUGCGUAUUGACAAGGGAUAUAACGUAUUUUUAAGAUUUAGCAUAUGGAAAGAAACCUGAAUAAUUUUUUAAACCGGAUUUGGUACGCCAAAUUUGGUGUACCAGUAUAUGGACCUAAAUCCUACGACUUUUGUAUAAAACAUUUUUCAAGAAAGCGCAUAUUUUACGAAACAUUUAACCAUUUCUAAACUUUUGGGCCGCGGAGUGCGUAAACCACACACGGACGGCUACAUACAAGAAGCGAUAAAUUUUGGUAGAGAUUAGUAAUUUAUUUAUAUUCAAGUUAAACGGAGCGCUGACACAUGAGCAACAUCAAUACUCAAGAUCAAUAUACCGAUAAUCUCUAUUUAGAAUACUGUAUAUGAAUGAAUAUCUACUUCGAACUUGAUCCGACUAAAUUUCUAUCCAGGUGUAUUUAUUUUCUAGAUGCCUGCAUUAAUUGAUCCAGAUGUUAAGCGAGAAUUCGAAUCUCACGUUCCAGGUAUUUCAAUUCGAUGAGAUGCGAUUGUUAGAAAGCGAAUUAUAUUUUACCAGUCGUGUCUUGGAUUGAAAAUUGAGAUAGUGACAACAUCACUUGAUUUUCGAUUUAAUAUCAUUUCGAUCAUGUGAUUGCGCAUCGAAACGACUCACUGAACUCGACAAUCAAGUCGCGGAAUGACUCUGGAUCAAGUUCGUUUCGUUCCUUCUGUCCGAGUUUUUCAAAUCCAUCAUUACGUCGACCGGCUCUGUCUUUGAACUUCUAUGCAUGUGCAGCAUGGGAAGAGCGAAUCGUAUGCACGCAUGAACGCAUUACCGAAAAGCUCGAUUAAUGCGUGGAGACCUGAUUAACAUGACAAUGGCAGCCUUGCAUGUAGAUAUAAAUUAAUACGUAUUCUUCUUCCCGGUGGAAGGACGACCGAUCAUGCCAGCAAUGCUGUGUCCCUUUCGCGCGUAAUGAUGCGGUCGCUUGAUAAAUCACCCUUCCGGUCCUAACUAGAUCGCGUUGUGCUCGAUAAAGUCUUUCGCUUUUGCAAAAAAAAAAAAAAAAGGAUUGAGGUCUCUCUCAGGAUUUUCAACCGCUCGGUAUGUUGGCUACUUUGCAAUUGCAAAUUAUGAAAAACAAUUUACACCAUAGAUAAUCAUCGAAAGCAUCAAUAUAACACAUCAAUACAACCAACCAGGUAAGUUGAACGACCUAUCGUUCCUUCUUUUCAUUGUAGGUUUACCGGUUUUACAGGUAACAAUAAUGCCUUCAUCAAAUUAAAAUUAUUUACCACAGUCAAAAUUUACCUGCUCCUAUUUUAAUCUAUUGGAACCUUCUUGUGAAUCUUGUUCACAAUGACCUUCUUGUGAAUUUUUCAAAAACAUCGAUUCACCAGAAUCUUACAAUAGAAAGGCCGCAUCUUUUUUCUCACUAUUUUUUUCUACGCAUGAUUUUUCAGCACAAAAACUCAUCUUUUCACUUAUUUAUCCCUACUGAAUAAUAUCUUUUCUUGCAAUCUGAAAUAUAAAUUAUAAUUAUAUUUACACUGACAGAAAAGAAUGAUUGAAUAGUUAUUUGCUUAAAUAGUUAAAUGCUUGAAUAUUUAUUCCAAACAAGUAAUAUUUUCUAAAUUAUAUAAAGUCUUACUUGUUUGAAAUAAAUAUUAAUGGUUUUUUAUAAAAUGUUAUUAGUACUAUUCAAAUAAAUAUUUAUCAAGCAUCCUUUUCUGUCAGUGUAUUACUUUAUUAAUUAUAAUUAUAAUUACCAUUAGUAUUUUAUAAUAUAUAGUAUAAAAGAAUGGAUCAAUGGAUAGAUUUUGGCUUCUGAAGCAGCAAAACGACAUGUUUUUUUUAGUUUCUGAAUUAAAAUAAAUAAUAUUUAAAAUAAGUAGAUAAAUUAAUGUAAUCGUGUCACCGACAUGUGUUUUUAACAUUGAUCUUUUUCAGAACAAAAUUUUGUAAUUUUUUAAAUCAAAAUGCCAUUAAAAGGAAUACAACUUCUUGCUAUGCUACGGAUCUCAUAAAGAAAUAAACAUACGUAUAUCAAUAGUCAUGCAAUGUAUAUCAUUUGAUAACAGAUCUUAAGACAUGUCGAUCUGGCAUAACCAUGCAUCAGUAAAGGAAAAGUGAUGGAGGUAGGUUCAGUUGCUUAUGCAUUUCGGUCUUACGGGACGAACUUGCGCCAUGUGUGCCACAUUACGUCAAAUACAGCGGUGAAAGCAGCUGCAACGUCGUGACACGCGUCCAUUGUCGGUAUUUCGUGAGCAAAAAUGAAAUAUCGUCCCUCGUAUUCCUGUUCUCUCGCCGUACAAAAUCCCUUUGGCCUUUGCCCUCUGAUGUGAGGAUCACCUGGACCACGGAAGAGAAAGAAAGAGAAACAGAGAUAGAUAAAUAGAGAGAUAGAAAGGGAGAGUGAUUCCUCGGGAGAUUCUCACGGUUUGAUACUUUUUCUCUUUCCUUGAUCGCGCUGUAAAAUCUGUUCUCUGUAUAAUUUCCGUUAUUUUUUAAUUUAAAAAAUCCUGGAGUAUAUUAAAAAAAAAAAGCAAAUACGCAAUAUAUGAAGUAAUUUAAUAUCAUAAUGUAUCAUAAAA